AAGUCGUAACAAGGUCUCCGUUGGUGAACCAGCGGAGGGAUCAUUAAAGAGUCUAAAAACUCCCAACCCAUGUGGACUUACCUAUUGUUGCCUCGGCAGGUCGCGCUUAGGGGUGCCCCCCGUCAAAAGGGGGUGGCCCGUGCGCGGUUCAGCCUGCCGCCGGCCCACCAAACUCUGUUUUCUACUGAAACUCUGAAUAAAAACAAAUAAGUUAAAA
RNAcentral lists this unclassified non-coding RNA (217 nucleotides) under plant metagenome. RNAcentral describes it as "partial contains small subunit ribosomal RNA and internal transcribed spacer 1". The stretch from base 1 to 46 matches the Rfam family "Eukaryotic small subunit ribosomal RNA", at positions 1786 to 1831 of the family's 1831-position model. The record is from RNAcentral.